RNAcentral lists this ribosomal RNA (465 nucleotides) under Nitrosomonas sp. HKU2. RNAcentral describes it as "bacterial SSU rRNA". It matches the Rfam family "Bacterial small subunit ribosomal RNA", at positions 198 to 644 of the family's 1533-position model. The record is from RNAcentral. Lineage: Bacteria; Pseudomonadati; Pseudomonadota; Betaproteobacteria; Nitrosomonadales; Nitrosomonadaceae.
GGAGGAAAGCAGGGGAUCGAAAGACCUUAUGCUUUUGGAGCGGCCGAUGUCUGAUUAGCUAGUUGGUGAGGUAAAGGCUCACCAAGGCAACGAUCAGUAGUUGGUCUGAGAGGACGGCCAACCACACUGGGACUGAGACACGGCCCAGACUCCUACGGGAGGCAGCAGUGGGGAAUUUUGGACAAUGGGCGAAAGCCUGAUCCAGCCAUGCCGCGUGAGUGAAGAAGGCCUUCGGGUUGUAAAGCUCUUUUAGUCGGAAAGAAAAGAUCAUAAUGAACAAUUAUGAUUCAUGACGGUACCGACAGAAAAAGCACCGGCUAACUACGUGCCAGCAGCCGCGGUAAUACGUAGGGUGCGAGCGUUAAUCGGAAUUACUGGGCGUAAAGGGUGCGCAGGCGGUUUUGUAAGUCAGAUGUGAAAUCCCCGGGCUUAACCUGGGAAUUGCGUUUGAAACUACAAGGCUAG